Molecule: long non-coding RNA, 498 nt
Organism: Diabrotica virgifera virgifera (western corn rootworm)
Lineage: Eukaryota; Metazoa; Arthropoda; Insecta; Coleoptera; Chrysomelidae
Exons: 2
Source: RefSeq, a predicted model, not a curated record
CUAAUCGAAUACAUCCUACAAGUUCAGUGUUAGUUGUCGUGAAAUUUUUUAAUCAACGCAAAAUGUAUACGAAUCCGUUCAGCCGCACUCAUUGCCAAGUUCGCCAAGUUAUUGACCGAUUUUUGGAGAAGACCCUCAAAGUUGGUACCAAGAAUGGAUCCAAGCGAUAUGGUUCGGACAGUUCUUUGACUUCUUCGUCAUCGAAAAGUAGCACCUGGAGUUGCAGUUCCAAAAAUGCCUGCAACAACAUCUUAAAAUAAGGCUCUUAGUUACGCAUAACCCUGGAAUAAGAUUAUGGUGUCCAAAGUGGCCCAAUGAAAAAAUUUUUGCUGUUGUGAAAUGAAGAAUCAUUCGUGAAGAACGUUUUUGCGUUUUGCCUUUGACGAUUUGAAAAAAAAUCAUUCGCAGUCAAAAACAAGCUGAUAUGCUUCAAGAUUAUUUUAUUUACCGUGUAAAUAAACACUACAUGAAUAAAAAUAAAGAAAUUGUUUCUUAAAA